This 1537-nucleotide ribosomal RNA is filed under the name uncultured bacterium. RNAcentral describes it as "partial 16S ribosomal RNA". It matches the Rfam family "Bacterial small subunit ribosomal RNA". The record is from RNAcentral.
AGUUUGAUCCUGGCUCAGAACGAACGCUGGCGGCGUGCUUAACACAUGCAAGUCGUACGAGAAACUCCGUUUCGGCGGAGGAGUAAAGUGGCGCACGGGUGAGUAGCGCGUGGGUAAUUUGCCCCCGAGGCCGGGAUAACCUUGCGAAAGCGGGGCUAAUACCGGAUAAGACCACGACUCGUCCGCGGGUAGUGGUAAAAGGUGGCCUCUACGUGUAAGCUAUCACUCAGGGAUAAGCCCGCGUACCAUUAGCUUGUUGGUGGGGUAAUGGCCUACCAAGGCAACGAUGGUUAGCUGGUCUGAGAGGAUGAUCAGCCACACUGGAACUGAGACACGGUCCAGACUCCUACGGGAGGCAGCAGUGGGGAAUCUUGCGCAAUGGGGGAAACCCUGACGCAGCAACGCCGCGUGAGUGAUGAAGGCUCUCGGGUCGUAAAGCUCUGUCAGGUGGGAAGAAAGAUCCUGGUGAUAAUACCACCAGGACUUGACGGUACCACCAAAGGAAGCGCCGGCUAACUCCGUGCCAGCAGCCGCGGUAAUACGGAGGGCGCGAGCGUUGUUCGGAUUUAUUGGGCGUAAAGGGCGUGUAGGCGGUCAGAUAAGUCCGGUGUGAAAGCCCUUGGCUCAACCAAGGAAGGUCGCUGGAAACUGUCUGACUUGAGUACGAGAGAGGAGAGUGGAAUUCCCGGUGUAGAGGUGAAAUUCGUAGAUAUCGGGAGGAACACCGGUGGCGAAGGCGGCUCUCUGGCUCGAUACUGACGCUGAGACGCGAAAGCGUGAGGAGCAAACAGGAUUAGAUACCCUGGUAGUCCACGCCGUAAACGUUGGACACUAGGUGUGGGAGGUAUCAACUCCUUCUGUGCCGAAGCUAACGCAUUAAGUGUCCCGCCUGGGAACUACGGCCGCAAGGCUAAAACUCAAAGGAAUUGACGGGGGCCCGCACAAGCGCUGGAGCAUGUGCUUUAAUUCGACGCAACGCGAAGAACCUUACCUGGGUUUGACAUCCCCAUCCAGUCCUAGAAACAGGAUUUUCCCCUUCUCGGGACAGGGUCACAGGUGCAGCAUGGCCGUGGUCAUCUUGAGUUGUGAUAUGGUGGGUUAAGUCCAACUACGAGCGCAACCCUCAUCCUUAUUUGCCAGCACCGACUUGGGCACUGUCAAGAAAAUGAUCCGGUUAACGGGGAGGAAGGGGGGGAUGGGGUCAAGUCCUCAUGGCCUUUACGCCCAGGGCCACGCACGCGCUCCAAUGGCAAGUACAAAGGGAAACGGCCUCGCGAGAGUGAGCAAAUCCCAGAAAGCAGGUGUCAGUUUCGAUUGGAGUUGGCAUUUGGAAUUCAUGAACGAGGAAUAGGUAGUAAUAGUAGUUCAGCACGAUCCGGUCAAUACGUUCCCGGGCCUUGUUCACGCCCCCCGUCCCACCCUCAGAGUGGGAUGUACCAGAAGUCGAUGGGCUAACCCCCGACUCGUCGGGGGAAGCAGGCGCCUAAGGUAUGGUUGGUGAUUGGGGUGAAGUCGUAACAAGGUAACCAAGGGCGAA